This 497-nucleotide ribosomal RNA is filed under the name uncultured bacterium. RNAcentral's name for it is "partial 16S ribosomal RNA". It matches the Rfam family "Bacterial small subunit ribosomal RNA", at positions 28 to 507 of the family's 1533-position model. The record is from RNAcentral.
GAUGAACGCUGGCGGCGUGCCUAAUACAUGCAAGUCGAGCGAACAGAUAAGGAGCUUGCUCCUUUGACGUUAGCGGCGGACGGGUCAGUAACACGUGGGUAACCUACCUAUAAGACUGGAAUAACUCCGGGAAACCGGGGCUAAUGCCGGAUAACAUUUAGAACCGCAUGGUUCUAAAGUGAAAGAUGGUUUUGCUAUCACUUAUAGAUGGACCCGCGCCGUAUUAGCUAGUUGGUAAGGUAACGGCUUACCAAGGCAACGAUACGUAGCCGACCUGAGAGGGUGAUCGGCCACACUGGAACUGAGACACGGUCCAGACUCCUACGGGAGGCAGCAGUAGGGAAUCUUCCGCAAAGGGCGAAAGCCUGACGGAGCAACGCCGCGUGAGUGAUGAAGGUCUUCGGAUCGUAAAACUCUGUUAUUAGGGAAGAACAAAUGUGUAAGUAACUGUGCACGUCUUGACGGUACCUAAUCAGAAAGCCACGGCUAACUACGUG